AUGCCAUGGUGCGGACAUUUCCUCAACAGCUACUUAAACCUUUCCCACGUGUCAGGAAUAACUUCAUCAUCCAGUUGUUUAAAAAGACAGCUUUCGUUUCUGGACUU
Molecule: small nucleolar RNA, 107 nt
Organism: Cynara cardunculus var. scolymus (artichoke)
Lineage: Eukaryota; Viridiplantae; Streptophyta; Magnoliopsida; Asterales; Asteraceae
Source: RefSeq, a predicted model, not a curated record